CGAUUUUAGGUGUUACAGAAACCGAUUUAUCGGUUUAAAUGUCAGAAUUAAACCGAUCAGUUAUUCGUUAAUAGUGUGCAAAUUUCUUUGCAUGAUGUAAAAAUGGGAGCGUUUUCCAUUGUCGUUCGUUCCUAAAAUUAUCCAGGUGGACAAUUUAAAUUUUCAUAAGCCUUUAGCAUUUCUGUUGUAACCAUAGAGACUGUAGGUCACGCUAAGGAGACAUUUGCGUGCCACAGACUAUUAAUAGGAACCAAUUAUAGUGGACUUUGUUUUAUUCUCAGAAAAAUAAGUGGCAAAAAAAGUGAAUCUAAAAUGUCUCAGCGGAAAAUAAUUUUAUCUUUACAUAAGCAGGCAAAUUGCUGAAAUAAUUGACAGAAGCCGCUACACCAUAAGAAGCAUUGUGAAACGAUAUGAGGAGGCUUCAUCUUAACAAAACGCAAUACGUACAGGCAGGCCCAAGGCUUUAAAUGACCGCAAACGCUGUAAGAACGGUAAAAAAAACCCAAUAUUAUCCACACAAAUCGCAGCGGAAGAUAAGGAAAACUUUAGAAAGUAUAUACAUCCGAUAACGUUCCAGAGAGCAUUGCACGAGGCUAACUUUUAUUCUCGUGCAGCUAGACGCAAACCCCUAAUUUCAAAAGUGAACCAAAAGAAACAUUUAGUUUAAGGCCGUCAAACUGUGUGGCGAAAACCUAACAUUGAACUUCAAAAAGAGAACCUCUCUGCGACUAUAAUCAUGGUGGUAAAGGAGUCAUUGUAUGGGGUCCGCUGCAAGUGUGGGCGAGCUGGAAUUCAUUGACGGCGUUAUGGACAAAAAAAUACUAUUAGGAAAUUCUUAAAGGGAAUGUCAAAAAAAGUAUUAAAAAGUAUGAAAAUAAAGGAGAAGGAGCACACUGAUAUUAGCUAAACUGGCAUUUAAUCAUUCGCAUUAACCCUCUGCGGUAAUUUUCGAAUACCAAAUCUAAAAAAUGAAUCUUCCUUUUCCUCGAUCCAAUCAUUAAACUUUCUUCAAUGACUUCAACAAACCAGAACCGAUGAGCACCCAUAUCGGUCUCCAUCCUACGAAAAAACCUUUAACCAGAAGUAGCGGGGUGUGCAGCAUGCGGCGGGUGGGGCAAGAGCGUUGUCCUGUUGACCAAUUACCUUGCUAUGCCUUUUGUUCGUUUCUGACACACAUAAAGCCUCCAAUUCCUCAUCUUCAAACUUUUUUAACUGGUUGAGCCUUCUUUUAAUAAAGGGCGGUAUUAAUUUGUACCUCCACGACUUUAUUAGUUUUAUAAUAAAUAUGUCAACUUGCUAAUCUUUUUUGUUUUAUUUUUCUCGUGUCAAUACACGUGUUUAGGCUUACUUACCCGCGAACUAUCCAAAAGCAACUAACAACAAUUCAUUGCACAAUUUCUUUUUGCCUACAAAAUUUUAUCAAUAAUUUACGC
Molecule: long non-coding RNA, 1433 nt
Organism: Ceratitis capitata (Mediterranean fruit fly)
Lineage: Eukaryota; Metazoa; Arthropoda; Insecta; Diptera; Tephritidae
Exons: 3
Source: RefSeq, a predicted model, not a curated record